RNAcentral lists this ribosomal RNA (245 nucleotides) under uncultured bacterium. RNAcentral's name for it is "partial small subunit ribosomal RNA". It matches the Rfam family "Bacterial small subunit ribosomal RNA", at positions 26 to 285 of the family's 1533-position model. The record is from RNAcentral.
AGAAUCAACGCUGGCGGCGCGCUUAACACAUGCAAGUCGAGCGAGAAAGUGGAGCAAUCCAUGAGUAAAGCGGCGUACGGGUGAGUAACACGUGGAUGAUCUACCUUUUUGUGGGGGAUAACUUUGGGAAACCGAAGCUAAUACCGCAUAAGCCUGUAAAGGGAAAGCAGCAAUGCGCAGAAAGAGGAGUCCGCGGCCGAUUAGCUAGUUGGUGAGGUAACGGCCCACCAAGGCGAUGAUCGGUA